AAGUCGUAACAAGGUUUCCGUAGGUGAACCUGCGGAAGGAUCAUUAACACGUGAUACUCACGUAUUAACUCAAUAAAUCCACCGAGAACUAGUUAUUGUGUCCUGUUGUUGAAUGUAAGUAGGCGAAGUGAGGGAAUGCUAUGAGCCGCCCUUCGAAAGAUUGUACGCUCUAACUCAUUAGUCGUUCAUAGGUCCACCCUGGAGCUUGCACCAGCAAUUAGAUUAGAUGAAGCACAACUGCUUAUUAAGCCUGUAGCGUAGCUUGCAGAUUCGUAGCUGAAAUAUUAACCCCUUUUUCUAUUAUUUACUGAUUUUGUAUGUUAUAUGAAUUCCUGACUUCGGUUGGUUGAGUUUAUAUAGAUGUCGUAUAUUACUACUACGAAACAACUCUUAGCAACGGAUAUCUUGGUUCUC
Molecule: unclassified non-coding RNA, 414 nt
Filed under: fungal sp.
Lineage: Eukaryota; Fungi
Description: partial internal transcribed spacer region
Rfam family: Eukaryotic small subunit ribosomal RNA (bases 1-46)
Source: RNAcentral